Molecule: ribosomal RNA, 490 nt
Filed under: uncultured bacterium
Lineage: Bacteria
Description: partial 16S ribosomal RNA
Rfam family: Bacterial small subunit ribosomal RNA
Source: RNAcentral
AUUGAAUGCUGGCGGCAGGCCUAACACAUGCAAGUCGAACGGUAACAGGAAGCAGCUUGCUGCUUUGCUGACGAGUGGCGGACGGGUGAGUAAUGUCUGGGAAACUGCCUGAUGGAGGGGGAUAACUACUGGAAACGGUAGCUAAUACCGCAUAACGUCGCAAGACCAAAGAGGGGGACCUUCGGGCCUCUUGCCAUCGGAUGUGCCCAGAUGGGAUUAGCUAGUAGGUGGGGUAACGGCUCACCUAGGCGACGAUCCCUAGCUGGUCUGAGAGGAUGACCAGCCACACUGGAACUGAUACACGGUCCAGACUCCUACGGGAGGCAGCAGUGGGGAAUAUUGCACAAUGGGCGCAAGCCUGAUGCAGCCAUGCCGCGUGUAUGAAGAAGGCCUUCGGGUUGUAAAGUACUUUCAGCGGGGAGGAAGGGAGUAAAGUUAAUACCUUUGCUCAUUGACGUUACCCGCAGAAGAAGCACCGGCUAACUCCGUG